CCUACGGGAGGCAGCAGUGAGGAAUAUUGGUCAAUGGUCGGGAGCCUGAACCAGCCAAGCCGCGUGAGGGAGGAAGGUCCUGCGGAUCGUAAACCUCUUUUGUCAGGGGACAAGGCCUGGCACUCGUCCCUUUGUGCAUGUACCUUACGAACCAGCAUCGGCUAACUCCGUGCCAGCCGCCGCGGUAAUACGGAGGGUGCGAGCGUUAUCCGAAUUUAUUGGGUUUAACGGGUGCGCAGGCGGUCUGUUAAGUCAGGGGGUAAAGCCCCGGGCUCAACCCGGGCCCCGCCGUUGAUACUGGCAGGCUCGAGUGGGGGAGAGGUAGGCGGAAUGCGAGGUGUAGCGGUGAAAUGCAUAGAGAUCGCGCAGAACUCCGAUGGCGAAGGCAGCAUGCUGG
RNAcentral lists this ribosomal RNA (397 nucleotides) under uncultured bacterium. Its description in RNAcentral is "partial 16S ribosomal RNA". It matches the Rfam family "Bacterial small subunit ribosomal RNA", at positions 338 to 732 of the family's 1533-position model. The record is from RNAcentral.